RNAcentral lists this ribosomal RNA (866 nucleotides) under uncultured archaeon. RNAcentral describes it as "bacterial SSU rRNA". It matches the Rfam family "Archaeal small subunit ribosomal RNA", at positions 5 to 879 of the family's 1478-position model. The record is from RNAcentral.
CGGUUGAUCCUGCCGGAGGCUAUUGCUAUCAGGGUUUGACUAAGCCAUGCGAGUCGAGAGGUGAAAGACCUCGGCAUACUGCUCAGUAACACGUGGAUAAUCUGCCCUCAGGUGAGGAAUAAUCCCGGGAAACUGGGGCUAAUGCCUCAUAGGAGACGGGUGCUGGAAUGCUCUGUCUCUGAAAGGUCCGCCGCCUGAGGAUGAGUCUGCGUCCGAUUAGGUUGUUGUUGGGGUAACGGCCCACCAAGCCAUUGAUCGGUACGGGUUGUGAGAGCAAGAGCCCGGAGAUGGAUUCUGAGACAUGAAUCCAGGCCCUACGGGGCGCAGCAGGCGCGAAAACUUUACAAUGCGAGCAAUCGUGAUAAGGAAACCCUGGGUGCCUGUCAAUGCAGGCUGUUCUGGUGUUUAGUCAGCACCAGGAGAAAGGGCGGGGCAAGACCGGUGCCAGCCGCCGCGGUAAUACCGGCUGCUCGAGUGAUAGCCACUUUUACUGGGCUUAAAGCGUUCGUAGCUUGGUCGUUAAGUCUCUGGGGAAAUCUUUUGGCUCAACCAAAAGACGUCUCAGAGAAACUGGCGACCUUGGGACCGGGAGAGGUAAGACGUACUUCGGGGGUAGGAGUGAAAUCUUGUAAUCCCCGAGGGACGACCGAUGGCGAAGGCAUCUUACCAGAACGGCUCCGACAGUGAGGGACGAAAGCUGGGGGAGCAAACCGGAUUAGAUACCCGGGUAGUCCCAGCCGUAAACGAUGUGCGUUAGGUGUGUCAGUGACCACGAGUCACUGAGGUGCCGAAGGGAAACCGUGAAACGCACCGCCUGGGAAGUACGGUCGCAAGGCUGAAACUUAAAGGAAUUGGCGGGGGAGCAC